This 1483-nucleotide long non-coding RNA is filed under the name Populus trichocarpa (black cottonwood). RNAcentral's name for it is "long non-coding RNA (PTRI_LNC001649)". Lineage: Eukaryota; Viridiplantae; Streptophyta; Magnoliopsida; Malpighiales; Salicaceae. The record is from RNAcentral.
UUAAUUACUUCAUCUCAUUUAUCCAUGAACAAAUAUGCUGGGCAUUCUGUAUGGUUCACUUAUGGAAAAUCCACAACUUACUAUAUAUAUUGUCACUUAUAUAUAAAUAAGUUGCUACCAACAAGCGAAGUGAAAUGGAAGGCACGCAACAAAUCAAAUCACUAUGUAUAUAAAUAAUUUAUUGCAUCAAAGUGGUAAUAAAUAAAAUCAAACUACACGGUCCCAAUCUAUUACAACGUAAAAAAUCCAGAAAAGCACAUCUAAGGAAGGGACAAAGCACAAAUAAAGCAUCGUUCCUCAAAAGCAAGCGUCGCAGAGACAACAGCAACACAAGGCAGCACAACUGCAAGAUGAAAGAGCCAAGAAUUAGAACAUUCAAAACAGAAUGUGUGUUUUAGAUAGCUAGUUUUUGCGGUUAUGAUUUGAAAAAAUAUAUUUUAAAAAACUAUAAAUUAUAAUUUUUUUAUAAUCAAAGUUUUAAUCGAGAGUUUUUAGCGGGAUUAAUGUAAUUCAAGAAAUGAAUAUACUAGAGAAAGAUCAAGACAAGCGGGCUUACCAUCCCUUCCAGAAGCCAUCACCCCUGGAUUUAGUCUUCACAGGAAUAGGAUUUUGCUGGUCGGAUUGACCAUCCAUGGUUGGAUAGCCAGCUGGUGGUGGGCCUGAAUAUGCACUAGGAUAAGUUGAUGUUGGUGGGGGAGGAUAUGCCACUGCAAGAUUUCAAAGCCACCUAAAUUAGCAUACGCAGACUCCAACAGAGAAAACAAAUAAAUAAAUUACGUAAAGCUCUUUGACUCUACAGACAAUCUUGUUGAUCACUACAAAUUAUGACAAGGGGAGAGUUAACAGAUACCAAAUUUGUGAUUAAUUACUCAAUUACCAAGCUUGCAUGAUGUUAAUUCCGACUCAAAGAACAAGGGUUAAUUUCUUAGUGAAGCCACUGAUGAAAGCAAUUAGAUGUUGAUCUUGACUGUUUUAUGAAAAAACCAAAGAAAAAAACAGAUUUGAAUAGAUUAGGAAUAUGUGCAGAGCUUUUGAUUUUUGAAAAGGGAAACUUUGCACCCAGCACUUAAUUCUUUGGACACUAACCUCAGCAACUAAUCCCAUCUCAACAAUACAACAAAGUGUUUCAAGAUCAGAUCAAACAGUUCAUGUCCAAAUUAAAGACCUUAACCAGGAAAAAGAUGAAGGAUUACCUGUAGCUUGAUUCUGACUCAUGGUUGAAGAAGCGAGUUGAGAAGCACGAACAAAUGAGAGCUAUGGAAGAAUGGAGAUAAGGACGAGAGAAGUUCGGUUGUGGUAGUUGAUGAAGGCGGAGAAGAUGCUAUGCUAAAAUAAAUUAUUGCUAUCUUUAUAUAGAGAUGGAGGGAGGCGUUUGCUUGCCAGGGGUGACUAGCGAGGGCGGUCGCAAACGCGUUAGGAAGCGAUGAGUGGGUGUUUGGUUCUACUGCUGCGGCUGUGGUUAGAAUUAAAAAUUAUUUUAAAG